GUUUAAUUUCAAUUGUUUUUGAUUUUGUACAAAUUUAAUUGGAGGAUUGAAUCCUCCAGUGCAGAGCAGCACAGCUCAAAUUGUGCGACGAUUAAGCAUGUGUUUAAUAUAAAUUGAAAAUGAUGUGCAGUUCAAGGAAAAAGAGGCGGAAAUGAUUUACUCAAGCGCUCACUUGAGUUGUUUGAGCAGGAAAAGGUUGCGUUUCCGGCAUAGUGGGCAGUUUUCCGGUUGUAUGGUAAGGAGUCGAUAGGCUCCCCGAUGUAAGAUUAGUUGAAAAGAUGAAUAUUUGACCUGAAAUAAGUAUGCUACAAAACACUAAGGAAUAUGGCAAAGCGAAAGUGGAGGAAAAGAACGAGUUUCUGGAGGAUAAGCUAAGCUGACCAAAGCCGGUCUGAUCGAACAGCAAGAACGUAACUGGAGCGAUCGACAUGAGUGAGAUCAGAUCCAAUUGCUUUAAGCACGAAAGGAGCAGCAGUUGCUUACUGGCAUUAACCAUUCUUUGCUAGCCGGUUAUCAAAUAAUUCAAACUUGAAUCGGACAGCUGGAGUAUCAAAAUUCGGCUAAAAUUGCUUCCCUGUAAAAUAGUUGGCCAACUCGCCGGUUUACUCAUUCAACUCUUCGCCUACCAGCACAAACUACAAAUUGAAAAUAGUUCGCUAGUUGAAAAUCUCGCUUGUGACAGUUGAAAUCGCUGAAGUUAGAAAAUGAACAGCUGGAAUCAGAUAGACAG
Topomyia yanbarensis is the source of this 730-nucleotide long non-coding RNA. RefSeq lists it as uncharacterized. Lineage: Eukaryota; Metazoa; Arthropoda; Insecta; Diptera; Culicidae. The record is from RefSeq and is a predicted model, not a curated record. The transcript is spliced from 3 exons.